CCUACGGGAGGCAGCAGUGAGGAAUAUUGGUCAAUGGGCGCGAGCCUGAACCAGCCAAGUCGCGUGAGGGAAGACGGUCCUAUGGAUUGUAAACCUCUUUUGUCGGGGAGCAAAAGACGCCACGCGUGGCGUUCCGAGAGUACCCGAAGAAAAAGCAUCGGCUAACUCCGUGCCAGCAGCCGCGGUAAUACGGAGGAUGCGAGCGUUAUCCGGAUUUAUUGGGUUUAAAGGGUGCGUAGGCGGAAGGUUAAGUCAGUGGUCAAAUGUCGGUGCUCAACACCGGCCUGCCGUUGAAACGGGUUGUUGUGAGAGGGCGAGAGGUAUGGGGAAGGGGUGGGGGAGCGGGGAAA
Molecule: ribosomal RNA, 350 nt
Filed under: uncultured bacterium
Lineage: Bacteria
Description: partial 16S ribosomal RNA
Rfam family: Bacterial small subunit ribosomal RNA
Source: RNAcentral